Molecule: ribosomal RNA, 372 nt
Filed under: uncultured organism
Description: bacterial SSU rRNA
Rfam family: Bacterial small subunit ribosomal RNA
Source: RNAcentral
CAGAGACUGCAAGCGUUAUUCGGAUUCACUGGGCGUAAAGGGUGCGCAGGCGGUUGGGUGUGUCAGAUGUGAGAUCCCGAGGCUUAACCUCGGAACUGCGUCUGAAACUACUCGACUAGAGUACUGGAGAGGGUAACGGAAUUCACGGUGUAGCAGUGAAAUGCGUAGAUAUCGUGAGGAACACCAGAGGCGAAGGCGGUUACCUGGACAGUUACUGACGCUCAGGCACGAAAGCAUGGGGAGCAAAAGGGAUUAGAUACCCCUGUAGUCCAUGCCCUAAACGGUGCACACUAGGUCUUAGCGGACUCGACCCCACUAGGGCCCAAGCUAACGCGUUAAGUGUGCCGCCUGAGGACUACGGUCGCAAGACUA